Molecule: transfer RNA, 76 nt
Filed under: Gammaproteobacteria bacterium RIFCSPLOWO2_02_FULL_61_13
Lineage: Bacteria; Pseudomonadati; Pseudomonadota; Gammaproteobacteria
Description: tRNA-Thr
Rfam family: tRNA
About the family: Transfer RNA (tRNA) molecules are approximately 80 nucleotides in length. Their secondary structure includes four short double-helical elements and three loops (D, anti-codon, and T loops).
Source: RNAcentral
GCCGGGGUAGCUCAGUUGGUAGAGCAACGCAUUCGUAAUGCGUGGGUCGGGGGUUCGAUUCCCUUCCCCGGCACCA